This 585-nucleotide ribosomal RNA is filed under the name uncultured fungus. RNAcentral's name for it is "eukaryotic LSU rRNA". The stretch from base 211 to 364 matches the Rfam family "5.8S ribosomal RNA". Lineage: Eukaryota; Fungi. The record is from RNAcentral.
AGUCGUAACAAGGUCUCCGUAGGUGAACCUGCGGAGGGAUCAUUACACAAAUAUGAAGGCGGGCUGGAACCUCUCGGGGUUACAGCCUUGCUGAAUUAUUCACCCUUGUCUUUUGCGUACUUCUUGUUUCCUUGGUGGGUUCGCCCACCACUAGGACAAACAUAAACCUUUUGUAAUUGCAAUCAGCGUCAGUAACAAAUUAAUAAUUACAACUUUCAACAACGGAUCUCUUGGUUCUGGCAUCGAUGAAGAACGCAGCGAAAUGCGAUAAGUAGUGUGAAUUGCAGAAUUCAGUGAAUCAUCGAAUCUUUGAACGCACAUUGCGCCCUUUGGUAUUCCAAAGGGCGUGCCUGUUCGAGCGUCAUUUGUACCCUCAAGCUUUGCUUGGUGUUGGGCGUCUUGUCUCUAGCUUUGCUGGAGACUCGCCUUAAAGUAAUUGGCAGCCGGCCUACUGGUUUCGGAGCGCAGCACAAGUCGCACUCUCUAUCAGCAAAGGUCUAGCAUCCAUUAAGCCUUUUUUUUCAACUUUUGACCUCGGAUCAGGUAGGGAUACCCGCUGAACUUAAGCAUAUCAAUAAAAAGUCG